This 276-nucleotide ribosomal RNA is filed under the name Triticum aestivum (bread wheat). RNAcentral describes it as "partial small subunit ribosomal RNA". The record is from RNAcentral. Lineage: Eukaryota; Viridiplantae; Streptophyta; Magnoliopsida; Poales; Poaceae.
AUGGCUACUAAUCUCACUAACACUUGUCUCAAACGUUCUUUCUCCUUAUUGAUCUGCUGCUGGAAAUCCUUAUCAAUGGUCUUAUUUUUGGCUAGUCUAACUUUUAACUCAUUCCAAGUGUUCAUGGUUUUAAUAUGGUCUACACCAUUUUCAUGUUCUUUAAGCCUCUCGCUAAGAUGCUUCCAGUCACUCAAUCCAUUACCUGCUAAUGCACUCUUGUUGCUAUGGGAUUUGAAAAGCUUGCAACAAAAGCAGUACACUUUGUUAGCAUGUUGA